This 321-nucleotide ribosomal RNA is filed under the name Clostridioides difficile. RNAcentral's name for it is "partial 23S ribosomal RNA". It matches the Rfam family "Bacterial large subunit ribosomal RNA", at positions 338 to 660 of the family's 2925-position model. Lineage: Bacteria; Bacillati; Bacillota; Clostridia; Peptostreptococcales; Peptostreptococcaceae. The record is from RNAcentral.
GAGGUUUGGAAAGACCCACCAAAGAAGGUAAUAGGAAUGAAUGUGAAACGAGAAGACAUAAGAAAAGAAAAAGAGUAAAAAGGGAAAAGUGAAAAAAUGGGGGAAGAAGGAGGGAAAAACCAAAAAGGCGAAAAAAAAACUAGUGACCGAUAGCGUAUAGUACCGUGAGGGAAAGGGGAAAAGAACCCCGGGAGGGGAGUGAAAUAGAACCUGAAACCCUGAAAUUACAAGCUGUGGAAGCACAUUUCAUGUGUGACCGCGUACUUUUUGUAGUACGGGCCAACGAGUUACGUUAAGUAGCAAGGUUAAGCACUUAAGGUG